Molecule: long non-coding RNA, 719 nt
Organism: Homo sapiens (human)
Lineage: Eukaryota; Metazoa; Chordata; Mammalia; Primates; Hominidae
Exons: 3
Source: RefSeq, a predicted model, not a curated record
GAGGUAACUGAAAUGUUGUGUGAACCAGAUCUGGCUAAUGAGGAGAGGAGCUUCUGAGGCACAGAGCUGAUGGGCAGCAUGGCUUGGCCCCCACAGCUAUGGCACAGGGAGCAGGGUCAUCAAAAUCCACUCUGCUCUUCCAGAAGCUGCAGAGAGAGGGAACCCUAAAACCUGACAUGCCAGAAAAGAUGGAGUUUUGCUCUUGUUGCCCAAGCUGGAGUGCAAUAGCGCAAUCUCGGCUCACUGCAACCUCUGUCUCCCAGGUUCAAGUGAUUCUCGUGCCUCAGCCUUCCAAGUAGCUGGGGUUGCAGGCAUGCACCACCACACCCCACUAAUUUUUGUAUUUUUAGUAGAGAUGGGGUUUCACCAUGUUGGCCAGGCUGGUCUCAAACUCCUGACUUCAGGUGAUCCGUCUGCCUCAGCCUUCCAAAGUGCUGGGAUUACAGGCGUGUGCCACCACGCCCGGCCUGAUUACCAGAUUUUCUUGUUGAUUGUGUCAUUAGUCAUGGCUAUCCUAAGACUUUUGCCAUCCACAGACAAUUGUUAUCUUGUUUUGAUUCUUUUCAAAAGGCAGUUUAUAAUCAGCUAUAGAACUCUGACAGGUGUUCUUGAAAGCAAGUCUCUGAUAACUUUGGAGAUUGGACUAUUAGAAUAGAGGAAAAAACUUCUAAGACUUUCCUGGAGAUGUUACAUGUUAAUAAAUAUUGAGUGGAACAAGA